CCGAGUUUUAAUAACAACUCCCAAACCCCUGUGAACAUACCUGUUUUGUUGCUUCGGCGGUGCCCUCGCUCUCGUGGCGAGGCCCGCCAGAGGACCCAAACAAACUCUUUGAUUUUGAUCUAGGAUUUUACUUCUGAGUGAUAUACAAAAUAAAUCA
This 157-nucleotide unclassified non-coding RNA is filed under the name soil metagenome. RNAcentral describes it as "partial internal transcribed spacer 1". The record is from RNAcentral.